AUUGAACGCUGGCGGCAUGCCUUACACAUGCAAGUCGAACGGCAGCACGGGUGCUUGCACCUGGUGGCGAGUGGCGAACGGGUGAGUAAUACAUCGGAACAUGUCCUGUAGUGGGGGAUAGUCCGGCGAAAGCCGGAUUAAUACCGCAUAAGAUCUACGGAUGACAGAGGGGGACCUUCGGGCCUCGCGUUUUAGGGUUGGCUGAUGGCUGAUUAGCUAGUUGGUGGGGUAAAGGCCUACCAAGGCGACGAUCAGUAGCUGGUCUGAGAGGACGAUCAGCCACACUGGGACUGAGACACGGCCCAGACUCCUACGGGAGGCAGCAGUAGGGAAUUUUGGACAAAGGGCGAAAGCCUGAUCCAGCAAUGCCGCGUGUGUGAAGAAGGCCUUCGGGUUGUAAAGCACUUUUGUCCGGAAAGAAAUCCUGGGCCCUAAUACGGUCGGGGGAUGACGGUACCGGAAGAAUAAGCACCGGCUAACUACGUG
This 486-nucleotide ribosomal RNA is filed under the name uncultured bacterium. RNAcentral describes it as "partial 16S ribosomal RNA". It matches the Rfam family "Bacterial small subunit ribosomal RNA", at positions 30 to 507 of the family's 1533-position model. The record is from RNAcentral.